GACGAACGCUGGCGGCGUGCCUAAUACAUGCAAGUAGAACGCUGAAGAGAGGAGCUUGCUCUUCUUGGAUGAGUUGCGAACGGGUGAGUAACGCGUAGGUAACCUGCCUUGUAGCGGGGGAUAACUAUUGGAAACGAUAGCUAAUACCGCAUAACAAUGGAUGACACAUGUCAUUUAUUUGAAAGGGGCAAUUGCUCCACUACAAGAUGGACCUGCGUUGUAUUAGCUAGUAGGUGAGGUAAUGGCUCACCUAGGCGACGAUACAUAGCCGACCUGAGAGGGUGAUCGGCCACACUGGGACUGAGACACGGCCCAGACUCCUACGGGAGGCAGCAGUAGGGAAUCUUCGGCAAUGGGGGGAACCCUGACCGAGCAACGCCGCGUGAGUGAAGAAGGUUUUCGGAUCGUAAAGCUCUGUUGUAAGUCAAGAACGGGUGUGAGAGUGGAAAGUUCACACUGUGACGGUAGCUUACCAGAAAGGGACGGCUAACUACGUGCCAGCAGCCGCGGUAAUACGUAGGUCCCGAGCGUUGUCCGGAUUUAUUGGGCGUAAAGCGAGCGCAGGCGCUUUGAUAAGUCUGAAGUUAAAGGCUGUGGCUCAACCAUAGUUCGCUUUGGAAACUGUCAAACUUGAGUGCAGAAGGGGAGAGUGGAAUUCCAUGUGUAGCGGUGAAAUGCGUAGAUAUAUGGAGGAACACCGGUGGCGCAAGCGGCUCUCUGGUCUGUAACUGACGCUGAGGCUCGAAAGCGUGGGGAGCGAACAAAAUUAGAUACCCUGGUAGUCCACGCCGUAAACGAUCCCUAAAAGGAGUGGAUCCUUUCCGGAAUUCAGUGCCGAAGAUAACGCAUUAAGCACUCCGCCUGGGGAGUACGACCGCAAGGUUGAAACUCAAAGGAAAUGACGGGGGCCCGCACAAGCGGUGGAGCAUGUGGUUUAAUUUGAAGCAACGCGAAGAACCUUACCAGGUCUUGACAUCCCGAUGCUAUUUCUAGAGAUAGAAAGUUACUUCGGUACAUCGGUGACAGGUGGUGCAUGGUUGUCGUCAGCUCGUGUCGUGAGAUGUUGGGUUAAGUCCCGCAACGAGCGCAACCCCUAUUGUUAGUUGCCAUUAUUCAGUUGGGCACUCUAGCGAGACUGCCGGUAAUAAACCGGAGGAAGGUGGGGAGGACGUCAAAUCAUCAUGCCCCCUAUGACCUGGGCUACACACGUGCUACAAUGGUUGGUACAACGAGUUGCGAGUCGGUGACGGCGAGCUAAUCUCUUAAAGCCAAUCUCAGUUCGGAUUGUAGGCUGCAACUCGCCUACAUGAAGUCGGAAUCGCUAGUAAUCGCGGAUCAGCACGCCGCGGUGAAUAAAAGGCCGGGCCUUGUACA
This 1374-nucleotide ribosomal RNA is filed under the name uncultured bacterium. Its description in RNAcentral is "bacterial SSU rRNA". It matches the Rfam family "Bacterial small subunit ribosomal RNA", at positions 28 to 1387 of the family's 1533-position model. The record is from RNAcentral.